CACUUUGGGAAGCCAAGGCAGGAAGACAGCUUGAAAUCAAGAAUUCAAGACCAGCCUGAGAAACACAGUGUGAGACCCUGCCUCUACAGAAAACAAAAAUAAAUUAGCCGGGCAUGGUGAUGUGUGCUUGUAGUCCCAGCUACUCAGGAGGCUGAGGCAGGAGGAUCACUUGAGCCCAGGAGUUCAAAGUUGCAGUGAGCCAUGAUCAUCCCACUGUACUCCAGUCUGGACAAUAAAGCAACACCCUAUCCCUAAGAAAAAAAAUCUCUGGGGGUGGGAUCCAAGCAACAACAAGUUUGAAAACUCCCCAGGUGUUUCCAUGCUUCUGCACUCAUCUGAUCUUCACAACAGGGAUUCUUUAUGCCCAGAAACUCCUUUGGGAGGGCUCUGAGGUGGCCACAAAAUAAAACUCUCUGGCAGUGGCAGACCUUUAAAGAUGUUCCAUCUGCUGACUGUCCCAUCACCCCAAGCCAACCCCUUACCAUCAUCCCUGAUUCCUUUCUCCAUCUCAAAGUCUGUACCAGCCAUCAGGUCUUGCCAGGGGUCCCUCCUGAACACGUCUCGAAGGUACUUUUAUUUCUCCGUCUUUGUGCCCUUUGA
Molecule: long non-coding RNA, 600 nt
Filed under: Callithrix jacchus (white-tufted-ear marmoset)
Lineage: Eukaryota; Metazoa; Chordata; Mammalia; Primates; Cebidae
Description: lncRNA (ENSCJAG00000077355.1)
Source: RNAcentral